RNAcentral lists this ribosomal RNA (233 nucleotides) under uncultured bacterium. RNAcentral describes it as "partial 16S ribosomal RNA". It matches the Rfam family "Bacterial small subunit ribosomal RNA", at positions 15 to 237 of the family's 1533-position model. The record is from RNAcentral.
GAUCAUGGCUCAGGAUGAACGCUAGCUACAGGCUUAACACAUGCAAGUCGAGGGGCAGCAUGGUCUUAGCUUGCUAAGGCCGAUGGCGACCGGCGCACGGGUGAGUAACGCGUAUCCAACCUGCCUUACACUCUUGGACAGCCUUCUGAAAGGGAGAUUAAUACAAGAUGUUAUCAUGAGUAAGCAUUUUCACAUGUAUUAAAGGUUUACCGGUGUAAGAGUGGGGAUGUCCG